This 115-nucleotide ribosomal RNA is filed under the name Alphaproteobacteria bacterium. The record is from RNAcentral. Lineage: Bacteria; Pseudomonadati; Pseudomonadota; Alphaproteobacteria.
CCUGGUGGUCAUAGCGAGGAGACAUCACCCGAUCCCAUUCCGAACUCGGCCGUUAAACUCCUCAGCGCCGAUGGUACUGCGUCUUAAGGCGUGGGAGAGUAGGUCGCUGCCAGGC